GGCCAGUGAUGUGAGAAAAUAUUUGCUACUCUUGAUGGGAUUCAUAGCAUAUCCCCAGCUGAUGAUUCCUAUCCACCAAGAUCUCUGAGGCC
Molecule: small nucleolar RNA, 92 nt
Organism: Hevea brasiliensis (rubber tree)
Lineage: Eukaryota; Viridiplantae; Streptophyta; Magnoliopsida; Malpighiales; Euphorbiaceae
Product: small nucleolar RNA SNORD24
Exons: 1
Source: RefSeq, a predicted model, not a curated record